RNAcentral lists this ribosomal RNA (483 nucleotides) under uncultured bacterium. RNAcentral describes it as "partial 16S ribosomal RNA". It matches the Rfam family "Bacterial small subunit ribosomal RNA", at positions 28 to 507 of the family's 1533-position model. The record is from RNAcentral.
GAUGAACGCUGGCGGCGUGCCUAACACAUGCAAGUCGAACGAAGCUUGACGGAUGAUUUCUUCGGAAUGAAACCAGAUAUGACUUAGUGGCGGACGGGUGAGUAACACGUGAGCAACCUGCCUUUCAGAGGGGGAUAACGGCUGGAAACGGUCGCUAAUACCGCAUGAUGUGUUCGGAUGGCAUCAUCUGAACAUCAAAGAUUUAUCGCUGAAAGAUGGGCUCGCGUCUGAUUAGAUAGUUGGUGGGGUAACGGCCUACCAAGUCUACGAUCAGUAGCCGGACUGAGAGGUUGAACGGCCACAUUGGGACUGAGAUACUGCCCAGACUCCUACGGGAGGCAGCAGUGGGGAAUAUUGCACAAUGGGGGAAACCCUGAUGCAGCAACGCCGCGUGAAGGAUGACGGUUUUCGGAUUGUAAACUUCUUUUCUUAGUGACGAAGACAGUGACGGUAGCUAAGGAAUAAGCAUCGGCUAACUACGUG